RNAcentral lists this ribosomal RNA (215 nucleotides) under Aspergillus niger. Its description in RNAcentral is "partial 18S ribosomal RNA". The record is from RNAcentral. Lineage: Eukaryota; Fungi; Ascomycota; Eurotiomycetes; Eurotiales; Aspergillaceae.
AAAGAAAUUGACGGAAGGGCACCACCAGGCGUGGAGCCUGCGGCUUAAUUUGACUCRACACGGGGAAACUCACCAGGUCCAGACAAAAUAAGGAUUGACAGAUUGAGAGCUCUUUCUUGAUCUUUUGGAUGGUGGUGCAUGGCCGUUCUUAGUUGGUGGAGUGAUUUGUCUGCUUAAUUGCGAUAACGAACGAGACCUCGGCCCUUAAAUAGCCC